GGACUCACUUGGUAACACAUAUACUAAAAUGGGAAUGAUUUGGAGAAGGCUAGCAUGGCCACUGCACAGGGACAAUACACAAAUUUAUGAAGGGUUCUAGAUUUUU
Molecule: small nuclear RNA, 106 nt
Organism: Talpa occidentalis (Iberian mole)
Lineage: Eukaryota; Metazoa; Chordata; Mammalia; Eulipotyphla; Talpidae
Source: RefSeq, a predicted model, not a curated record